RNAcentral lists this ribosomal RNA (879 nucleotides) under uncultured bacterium. Its description in RNAcentral is "bacterial SSU rRNA". It matches the Rfam family "Bacterial small subunit ribosomal RNA", at positions 28 to 896 of the family's 1533-position model. The record is from RNAcentral.
AACGAACGCGGGCGGCGUGCUUAACACAUGCAAGUCGAACGCGAAAGUUUUCUUCGGAAGACGAGUAGAGUGGCGCACGGGUGAGUAACGCGUAAGUUAUCUACCUCGGCAUCUGGAAUAACUCACCGAAAGGUGUGCUAAUACCGGAUACGUUGAGUAAUCAAGAAAGGUGGCCUCUGAAUAUGCUACUGUGCUGAGAUGAGCUUGCGUACCAUUAGCUAGUUGGUAGGGUAAUGGCCUACCAAGGCGACGAUGGUUAGCGGGUCUGAGAGGAUGAUCCGCCACACUGGAACUGGAACACGGACCAGACUCCUACGGGAGGCAGCAGUGAGGAAUAUUGCGCAAUGGGGGCAACCCUGACGCAGCGACGCCGCGUGGAUGAUGAAGGCCUUCGGGUCGUAAAAUCCUGUCAAGUGGAAAGAAGUGCAUGGUGGAUAAUACCCAUCAUGUUUGACGGUACCACUGAAGGAAGCACCGGCUAACUCCGUGCCAGCAGCCGCGGUGACACGGAGGGUGCAAGCGUUGUUCGGAAUUACUGGGCGUAAAGCGCGCGUAGGCGGUUUGCUAAGUCAGAUGUGAAAGCCCAUGGCUCAACCAUGGACGUGCAUUUGAAACUGGCAGACUUGAGUAUUGGAGGGGGUGGUGGAAUUCCCGGUGUAGAGGUGAAAUUCGUAGAUAUCGGGAGGAAUACCAGUGGCGAAGGCGACCACCUGGCCAAAUACUGACGCUGAGGUGCGAAAGCGGGGGGAGCAAACAGGAUUAGAUACCCUGGUAGUCCACGCCGUAAACGAUGUCAACUAGGUGUUGGGACGGUUAAUCGUCUCAUUGCCGCAGCUAACGCAUUAAGUUGACCGCCUGGGGAGUACGGUCGCAAGAUUA